CCUACGGGAGGCAGCAGUGAGGAAUAUUGGUCAAUGGGAGAGAGCCUGAACCAGCCAAGCCGCGUGAGGGAAGACGGCCCUAUGGGUUGUAAACGUCUUUUGUCGGAGAACAAAACCAGGGUCGUGUCCCGGACUGCGUGUACUUGCAGAAAAAGCAUCGGCUAACUCCGUGCCAGCAGCCGCGGUAAUACGGAGGAUGCGAGCUUUAUCCGGAUUGAUUGGGUUAAAAGGAUGCGUAGGCGGUCUGUUAAGUCAGCGGUAAAAUUGCGGGGCUCAACCCUGGCGAGUCGUUGAAACUGGCAGACGUGAGUUGUCGAGAGGUACGCGGAAUGCGCAGUGUAGCGGUGAAAUGCGUAGAUAUCGCGCAGAACUCCGAUUGCGAAGGCAGCGUACCGGCGCCGAACUGACGCUGAGGCACGAAAGCGUGGGGAUCGAACAGGAUUAGAUACCCGUGUAGUC
This 459-nucleotide ribosomal RNA is filed under the name uncultured bacterium. RNAcentral's name for it is "partial 16S ribosomal RNA". It matches the Rfam family "Bacterial small subunit ribosomal RNA", at positions 338 to 795 of the family's 1533-position model. The record is from RNAcentral.